GCUGCGAGCCGCGUUUGCGGAAACAGAGCAGUAUCCUGGGAAAAUCAUAAAAGGAACCGUACCAGAUGUGUUAACAAUAUGGCCUCAGUUUUCUUAAUUCAUCAGCACCCUUGAUGAGAAAACUGAAAGCCAAUGUGGUUCAAUAAUUUUUCCAGGACCAUUUCAAGAAGCAGUGGGGCUGAAUCUAAAGCAAGCUGUCUCCAUGCAGAGCCCGUGCUUACCAUCAUGACUUUGUCUCAUGCACACACAGACACUUACCAGUUAUAACAACACUACUGUGGUCAUGCCUUUGCUCUUGACUUUCCUCUGUCUGCUGAGCCUACUUAUUCUGUUCCCUCCCACCAAGAUUUCUGAGUGAGCUUGCCUCAUGCCCAUUCCACCUGGAAGUCUUAUCUCUGAACUGCACUUUGCACUCAGAGAUACAACGCAUCAUGGGGAUCUUCCACGUUUCCACAUGGCUCCAACUGUAUGCAAAAACCAAGGUGGAAUCAUACAUCAAGAAUUAGUGAGCUCACCAGUUAAUAUAACAUCAUAUUUUAGUUUCCAUUUGGGUCUAAGCUGUCACAGAAUUUAGAGAAACAUUUUUCCUAAUCGUUACUGGAGAGAUCAGUAUAGUUAUUGUGAAUUAUUUAAAUCACGGUUAUGCUUUAACACAUGAGCACAGUAAUUUUUCUAUGCUGAACUUUUUUCUCCAUAUUUUGGUAGUGUAAUAAGACCCGUGUGUCCUUCACAUUCAUCUUUACUCUGGGUUGGUUUCAUUUUAACCUAUAAACUUGGUCUUCUAUCUGUGGUAAAAGAAAAAGAGCAAAGUUAUAUGCAAUGGCUACUUUUUAAAAUAAAAGAAAAAUGAGGGUUAAGGAAAGGACUUCAAAGUUAAUUUACCAAAAUCCAGCUACAAUCUUGACCCUUGAAGACCCCAAUAAGGCAUUAAUUACAAACGGAUUAACACUUUCUCCAUUGUAACAAUGGAGUCCUCUGUCAAUGGAAAGUGAUAACAAUAUUUGCAUUUAUCCAUUAGCGUGGGAUUCAUAGAUUAUAAGGAAGGUC
Chinchilla lanigera (long-tailed chinchilla) is the source of this 1047-nucleotide long non-coding RNA. RefSeq lists it as uncharacterized. Lineage: Eukaryota; Metazoa; Chordata; Mammalia; Rodentia; Chinchillidae. The transcript is spliced from 3 exons. The record is from RefSeq and is a predicted model, not a curated record.